AGAGUUUGAUCCUGGCUCAGAACGAACGCUGGCGGCAUGCCUAACACAUGCAAGUCGAACGAGACCUUCGGGUCUAGUGGCGCACGGGUGCGUAACGCGUGGGAAUCUGCCCUUUGCUUCGGAAUAACAGUUAGAAAUGACUGCUAAUACCGGAUGAUGUCUUCGGACCAAAGAUUUAUCGGCAAAGGAUGAGCCCGCGUAGGAUUAGGUAGUUGGUGGGGUAAGGGCCUACCAAGCCGACGAUCCUUAGCUGGUCUGAGAGGAUGAUCAGCCACACUGGGACUGAGACACGGCCCAGACUCCUACGGGAGGCAGCAGUGGGGAAUAUUGGACAAUGGGCGCAAGCCUGAUCCAGCAAUGCCGCGUGAGUGAUGAAGGCCUUCGGGUCGCAAAGCUCUUUUACCAGGGAUGAUAAUGACAGUACCUGGAGAAUAAGCUCCGGCUAACUCCGUG
RNAcentral lists this ribosomal RNA (453 nucleotides) under uncultured bacterium. Its description in RNAcentral is "bacterial SSU rRNA". It matches the Rfam family "Bacterial small subunit ribosomal RNA", at positions 8 to 507 of the family's 1533-position model. The record is from RNAcentral.